GUUUUGUCAAAUUCUUGAUCAUGCUGGCGAAGAAUCGCUUCGUGUUCAUGGUUUUCGCAUUGAGUUGCUUCAGGUUGCUGAGAUUCGCAAAGGCAGUGGUACCCCAAGGAGAAGAGUGCUCAAGUUUUAUAGUCUUCCUGGCAUGCUUCCACCUCAACUGGUGAAGCUUCCUCACCUUCGAGAAAUUGAUUUUGCUUACAACUAUCUCAAUGGGACAACACCACUGGAAUGGGCUUCAAUGCGAUUAACUUCU
This is a long non-coding RNA of Alnus glutinosa, 253 nucleotides long. RefSeq lists it as uncharacterized. Lineage: Eukaryota; Viridiplantae; Streptophyta; Magnoliopsida; Fagales; Betulaceae. The transcript is spliced from 3 exons. The record is from RefSeq and is a predicted model, not a curated record.